RNAcentral lists this ribosomal RNA (468 nucleotides) under uncultured bacterium. RNAcentral describes it as "partial 16S ribosomal RNA". It matches the Rfam family "Bacterial small subunit ribosomal RNA", at positions 28 to 507 of the family's 1533-position model. The record is from RNAcentral.
GACGAACGCUGGCGGCGUGCUUAACACAUGCAAGUCGAACGGAAAGGCCCUGCUUUUGUGGGGUGCUCGAGUGGCGAACGGGUGAGUAACACGCGAGUAACCUGCCCUUGACUUUGGGAUAACUUCAGGAAACUGGGGCUAAUACCGGAUAGGAGCUCCUGCUGCAUGGUGGGGGUUGGAAAGUUUCGGCGGUUGGGGAUGGACUCGCGGCUUAUCAGCUUGUUGGUGGGGUAGUGGCUUACCAAGGCUUUGACGGGUAGCCGGCCUGAGAGGGUGACCGGCCACAUUGGGACUGAGAUACGGCCCAGACUCCUACGGGAGGCAGCAGUGGGGAAUAUUGCACAAUGGGCGGAAGCCUGAUGCAGCAACGCCGCGUGCGGGAUGACGGCCUUCGGGUUGUAAACCGCUUUCGCCUGUGACGAAGCGUGAGUGACGGUAAUGGGUAAAGAAGCACCGGCUAAGUACGUG